AUGAAAAAAGCUUUUAAAUUUGUGAUGGCAGAAGACCACUCCAAUGAUAGUGAGGAUGAGGAGGACAUGGUUGGUGAACCAUUUGAUAGGAACUUUACCCUAUGUUCCCGGCAACGGCUGUCCUGUUUUGCUCACAGUCUUCAGCUAGUAGUGGGCGAUAGAUUAAAGGAGGUGAAGUGCCUUUCUCAAGCAAUGUCCAAAGUGUCAAAACUUGCAACUCUACUGCAUAGCAGCACAAUUUUCAAAGACAAGUUUGAGGCCGUCUUUGGCUAUGGCAAAAGCAUUCCAGUGGCCACUGUAACACGAUGGAAUUCCACCUUCAAGCAAAUACAGGCCAUUACGGAGCUGGAUCACACCACCUUGACAGAAAUGUGCUCUCCCGACUUUAAGAAUGUUGUCAUCACAACAAGAGAGUGGGCUCAGUUGAGAGAACUUUGUUUGAUUCUUGGACCUUUUGCUGAAGCAACUGAAUUAACAGAGGGAGAAAAGAUCAUCACAAUCAGCAUGGUUGUUCCAACAGUGCUUGACCUGAACACUCAUCUAAUUCAGAUAGAUUCGCCAAAGAGCCUCUGCAGGCCAUUGAUCAGAGCACUCCGGGAGUCACUCCAACAAAGGUUCUCAGGCAUCUUCAUUGCACUUCAUAUGGUAGAGCCUGAGGACCAUAGCUUUGAUGCACCAUUUAGUCAUGAAAUCUAUGCACAAGCUGCAAUGUUGGACCCUCGGUUUGGAAUGAGCUGGGUCGACAUGGAUGUGAGGGCCAGUGGCAGCACUGUUGCUAUAAAGAGACUAAGGGAGGAGGUGCGGAAGUCGCUGACAGACUGCUUGAUAGCUGAAGCAGAAAAGGCUGACCUGGAAAAUAUCCAUGCCAGAGAGGGACCUACAGCAGAACCACCUCAUUCUCCUCCAAAUUCCAAGAUUCCACGACUCCUGGCAAAGUAUAAAACUCAAAAAAAUAAACAUAGCACUCCCACUGAGGCAAGCAUUGUCACCCAGGUAAUGAAAUACUUUGAACACAUCCAGAGCUCUCCGAUAGAGGAGGACCCCCUUAUGUUCUGGGCUCACAACAAGGACAAAUAUGCACAUUUGCAUGCUCUUGCUCUUAAAGUGCUGUCUGUCCCUGCAUCUUCAGCACCAGUUGAAAGAGUUUUUAGUGCUGGAGGACUUCUUAUGAGGCCCCAUCGAGCAAGCCUAGGAUCAAAAAUGCUCUCAUCACUUAUAUUUCUCAAGUGCAACAAUGGACUUCUGUAAAACAGAAAAGAAUACUGAGAAUGUACAGUAUGAGGAUUAGAUGCAGAGCCAGUUCAGGUUAGGGUCCUGCUAUCCCAUACUUGCAUACAAUUCUGCACUAAAACUGUGUUGGUAAUCCCCUGGGGGAUUUUGAUUUGACUGGUACUCCUGAAUAUGUUAUAUAUUAUAUGGCCUAAGGCAAGCACACACACACGCGCGCACACACACACACACACACACACACACACACACACACACACACACACACACACACACACACACACACACACACACACACACACACACAUAGCUGAAGAUGUUCAUGUUUAUUAAUUUGUUUUUGUUGUUGAAAAUGCUCCUUUGGUUUAUAACAAGUAAUAAGUUCAAGAAUGGGCACAUUAUCAUUGCAGUCAUUUUGGAGUUAAAAUGUUUAGCAAAUUUUUGUGACACCUGUGUUGCUUUUUAUUUGUUACAUUUUUCAUUGGCAGCCCAGAAUGUUAUUGUUACACUAUAAUAUUGUUAUACAGUUAUUAUUAUUAUAAAGUAGUAUAAUAUAUAUAAUAUAUUAUAUAUAAUAUUGUAUAACAGUAUUGUUACACUAUAAUAAAAAGACUGAACAUGUGAAGUUGCA
This is a long non-coding RNA of Cyprinus carpio (common carp), 1858 nucleotides long. The record is from Ensembl. Lineage: Eukaryota; Metazoa; Chordata; Actinopteri; Cypriniformes; Cyprinidae.